Molecule: ribosomal RNA, 253 nt
Filed under: uncultured bacterium
Lineage: Bacteria
Description: partial 16S ribosomal RNA
Rfam family: Bacterial small subunit ribosomal RNA
Source: RNAcentral
UACGGAGGGGGUUAGCGUUGUUCGGAAUUACUGGGCGUAAAGGGCGCGUAGGCGGCCAACUAAGUCAGACGUGAAAUCCCUCGGCUCAACCGGGGAACUGCGUCUGAUACUGGAUGGCUUGAAUUCGGGAGAGGGAUGCGGAAUUCCAGGUGUAGCGGUGAAAUGCGUAGAUAUCUGGAGGAACACCGGUGGCGAAGGCGGCAUCCUGGACCGAGAUUGACGCUGAUGCGCGAAAGCCAGGGGAGCAAACGGG